GGCAUCAAUGACGCAGUUUAGCGAUAACUACAUUAUCAGCUAGGGCCAUCUAUAGGCAAAUUCCGGUUUCAUAUUUACAGUAUGUAUUGUGAUAUGUGAUAUGUAUGAAUAAACGUCGUACUCAAUAUGAUCUUGUUUUCGUGUUAUAGCCGUUUCUGUCUAUUUGUCAUUUUGUGGUGAAUUGAGAUAUUUCUUUAAUCACUGGAAAAUAUACUAUUUGAAAUAAUGAAUAAACAUCUAACGGCGAAUGUGGAAAAAUCAAAGAUGAUGAAGCUCAGGAAGAACACAGGAAGAAAGAGAAAAUUGAAGAAGUACUGGAAGAGAACAAGGAUGAAAAAGCAUCAAGGAGUUUACGUAUCUAAAUGUAUCACUGCAGAAGUAAAUGGAAGCAUGGUAAAGCAUGUAAAAGGAAGGAAAAACAAGGCGAAUGCGAUACUUAACCAGAUACAGAGGAACUGAGAAAAGAAAACUUGAAGAUGAUCUCAGAUUAAGAAUGUUCCUAUUUGAUGUGCUGGUGAUAGGAGUACUCAUGUAUGGUGUGAAACAGGAACAAAGAGAGUAUAACAGAUGAUAUAAAAUCUUAUUGCAUCUAUGAUAAUUGACCUUCUUCAUUUAACUAUUACUUGUACUUUUAGUUACUAACUUGUCAUAUUCUUGAGUUAUCAAACUGUAUUAUCCAUUGACGUCAUUGUUAUGCACAAGAGUAAGAAGUGAGAAAGUAAGAAAGAAAAUAUUUAUUAAAACCCUUUGGGUGCUGAAUACUCGCGGCCUAUGUCGUCCGUACGGACGGCGCGCGUC
Bombus terrestris (buff-tailed bumblebee) is the source of this 798-nucleotide long non-coding RNA. RefSeq lists it as uncharacterized. NCBI's taxonomy places the organism in Eukaryota, Metazoa, Arthropoda, Insecta, Hymenoptera, Apidae. The record is from RefSeq and is a predicted model, not a curated record. The transcript is spliced from 3 exons.